This 482-nucleotide ribosomal RNA is filed under the name uncultured bacterium. RNAcentral describes it as "partial 16S ribosomal RNA". It matches the Rfam family "Bacterial small subunit ribosomal RNA", at positions 28 to 507 of the family's 1533-position model. The record is from RNAcentral.
GAUGAACGCUGGCGGCGUGCCUAAUACAUGCAAGUCGAACGCUUCACUUCGGUGAAGAGUGGCGAACGGGUGAGUAAUACAUAAGUAACCUGGCAUCUACAGGGGGAUAACUGAUGGAAACGUCAGCUAAGACCGCAUAGGUGUAGAGAUCGCAUGAACUCUAUAUGAAAAGUGCUACGGGACUGGUAGAUGAUGGACUUAUGGCGCAUUAGCUUGUUGGUAGGGUAACGGCCUACCAAGGCGACGCUGCGUAUCCGACCUGAGAGGGUGACCGGCCACACUGGGACUGAGACACGUCCCUGACUCCUACGGAAGGCAGCAGUAGGGAAUUUUCGGCAAUGGGGGAAUCCCUGACCGAACAACGCCGAGCGAAUGAAGAAGGGAUUCGUUAUGUAUAUUUCUGUCAUAGGGGAAGAACGGUGGAGAUAGGGAAUGAUGACCAGGUGGCGUUACUUUAUAAGAAAGCCACGGCUAACUACGUG